RNA transcript from Cyclopterus lumpus (lumpfish), 6324 nucleotides. It is a transcript of the gene named SREBF chaperone, with no coding region annotated. The record is from RefSeq and is a predicted model, not a curated record. Lineage: Eukaryota; Metazoa; Chordata; Actinopteri; Perciformes; Cyclopteridae. The transcript is spliced from 24 exons.
AUGUUUCCGCUGCUCCCGGAAGGACGAGCCGAGCAGCCGCACACUCUGCCCGAAUCCAGAGGGGAGCGCUACGUUAACCACAAGGCGCCGCCGAGGCUUAAAACAGCCGCCGGCGCAGCUGCUUUCAGGGGACGCAAACAGCCACGAGCCAGAGCGGUAACCUGGUCUCCCGUCGGCAGGUCCCUGGAUGCCCCGCGGCGCACCGUCCUUGGCCGUGCAGUGCUUCCCAAUGGCCGGAAGUUGACCCCGCCCACCAGGAUGACGCUGCGCGAGCGGCUGAGAGAGAAGAUCUCGGCGGCGUUCUACCGCCACGGGCUGCUGUGUGCCUCCUACCCGGUGCCCAUCAUCCUCUUCACCUCCGCCAGCAUCCUCACCUGCUGCUAUCCGUUAUUGAGGCUUCCCCUUCCCGGGACGGGUCCUGUGGAGUUCACCACGGGGGUGCGAGACUACAGCGUCCCUUCCCAUGAGCCUCAGGGAGACCUCGGAGAACGGCCCGACUGGUACCGGGGUCCUCCGGUCGCCUACAUCCAGCAGGUGUUGGUGAAGGCGUCGGUGUCUCCGUGGGACAGCAGCCUGGUGCCGGUGGACGUGUUUCGGUCGCCGCUGGGUCGAGCCUUCAGCCUGCUGGAGGAGAUACGCAACCACGUCCACUCAGACGGCUCCGGGGUUCGCAGCCUGGAGACGCUGUGCCUCCAGGUGACGGACCUGUUCCCGGGGUUACGGCGGAUGCAGUCGGUGCUGCCCGAGCACGGCUGCCUGCUCGUGUCGCCCGGCAACUACUGGCAGAACCAGCGGGAGCUGUUCGACCUGGACCCCGACCUCCUCAAGACCAUCCAGAAACACGAGCCGAAGGGCCUGCACACCUCGGCCACGCUGCGAGACCUGCUGUUUGGCGUCCCCGGGAAGUACACCGGGGUCAGCCACUACAACAGGAAGAGGGUGGUGACUUACACCAUCACCGUUGUGCUGUCCAGCUACGAUGCGAGGUUCCUGGGCAGCCUGCGGGGCCGUCUGAAGCAGCUCCACCCGUCGGCCAACUGCAGCCUGAGAGACGACCACAUGGUCCACGUCCACUUCAAAGAGGAGAUCGGCAUCGCCGAGCUCAUCCCCCUCGUCACCACGUACAUCAUCCUAUUCGCCUACAUCUACUUCUCCACACGUAAGAUCGACAUGGUGAAGUCCAAGUGGGGUCUGGCUCUGGCCGCCGUGGUGACGGUCCUCAGCUCCCUGCUCAUGUCCGUGGGCCUCUGCACGCUGUUCGGCCUCACGCCCACGCUCAACGGAGGGGAGAUCUUUCCUUACCUGGUGGUGGUGAUCGGCCUGGAGAACGUCUUGGUCCUCACCAAGUCCGUGGUGUCCACCCCCGUCGACCUCGAGGUCAAACUCCGCAUCGCUCAGGGUCUUAGUAAUGAGAGCUGGUCUAUCAUGAAGAACAUGGCCACUGAGCUGUGCAUCAUCCUCAUUGGAUACUUCACCCUGGUGCCGGCUAUCCAGGAGUUCUGUCUGUUCGCUGUGGUCGGGCUGGUGUCGGACUUCUUCCUGCAGAUGUUCUUCUUCACCACGGUGCUGUCUAUAGACAUCCGACGCAUGGAGCUGGCGGAUUUGAACCGCCGGCUGCCGGCCGAAGCGGGUCUGCCGCCACCCAAGCCGGGCCCGCUGCGUAUCCGGGAGGUGCCCCCUCCCCCGCGGCCCUCCCCCCACACGAUCACCCUGCAGACCCCGGCCUUCAGGAACCUCCGGCUCCCCAAGAGGCUGCGCGUGGUGUACUUCCUGGCCCGCACGCGCCUGGCUCAGCGCAUCAUCAUGGUCGGCACGGUUAUCUGGAUCGGCAUCCUCGUCUACACCGACCCGGCCGGGAUACGCACCUACCUGGCCGCGCAGGUGUCCGAGCAAAGCCCCCUGGGAGAUCCCGGAGGAGGCGGCCUGGCCCCUCACCUCGGGGUGGCGCCCGUCUUUCGUGGAGGCGAUCCCACCAGCGCCCUCAGCAUCCACCCGCCGCCGGAUCCCACUCCCGUACCCGAGAACCAGUCACAGGGCCACCACGGCGCCGCUCAGGCGGGGCCCCUCCCCCAGGCUUCGCCCCCCGCCGUGCCCCAGAUCACCUGGGGAGCGGAGGACGAGGAGGGCUGGAGGAGGCUCUCCUUCAGGCACUGGCCGUCGCUCUUCAGCUACUACAACAUCACUUUAGCCAAGAGGUACAUCAGCAUCCUGCCCGUCAUUCCCGUCACCGUUCACCUGAGUCCUCAAGAGGCCAUCGAGACGCGUCACCCUCAGGACACGAGGCACCCCCCUCCAUCCAUCCCCAAGGUGUCUGCAGAUCUACAGACAGACCUCACCCUCUACAAGGUGGCCGCUCUGGGCCUGGCGGCCGGCGUCCUGCUGGUUCUGCUGCUCUUCUGCCUCUACCGGGUCCUCUGCCCGCGGAACUACGGGCAGAACGGCGUCGCUCACGGGCGCCGGCGCCGAGGCGACCUGCCCUGCGACGACUACGGCUACUCGCCGCCCGUCAGCGAGAUCUCGCCGCUGCUGCUGAGGGGCCACAGCAUGGACAUCGAGUGUUUGGCCAGCGACGGGAUGCUGCUGGCCAGCUGCUGCCUGGCCGGACAGAUUCGGGUUUGGGACACUCAGACCGGCGACUGUUUGACCGUCAUCCCGAACGAGGGGCUCCGACGGAGCAGCAGCAGCAAUGGCUGCUGGGAGCAGUGGGACGGCGGUUACGGCGCCGCGGAGUCGGGGCUCCUCGGCCCCGAGACCCUCGGCCCCGCUUGCGAGGAGGAGGGGGGAGGCGGCUACCCGCUGAGGCGCCGCACCGCCCCCACGUGGCCGACCCUGUUCAACGACCAGCCCGACCUCACCCCGCUCAUCGACACCAACUUCGCCUCCCAGCCCCCGUCCCACCUCUGCACGCCGCCCCGGCACGGUUUCGACUUCGGGGGUCUGGUGGAGCGCGCCUACAUGGAGCACGAGGCCCCCUCGCCGUCCGCCUACCCCUCGCCUUCCUCCGCCUCCUCCUCGCCGCCCUCGGGCGCUCAGCCCCACAGGCGACCCAGCUUAGGGGACGCGGCCGCCUUCUCGGCCCAGGACAGAGCCUCGGCGGCGGGGACGCAGGCGGCGGCGGACGGGGAGAGCUCCGUCUGGGCCCUGGAGCUCAGAGGCAAUCUGAUCGCUGCCGGGCGGAGCAGCGGAAAACUGGAGCUGUGGGAUGCAGUCGAAGGGUCGCUCCGCUGCGUCAAUGAAGACGGAGGGUCCGGGAUCACGGCGCUCGCCUUCCUCAACAACAGAAUCGUCGCGGCUCGGCUGAACGGGUCUCUGGACUUCUUCACGGUGGAGAUAAACAAACCUCUGGGUCUGCUGCAGUACAGAGGUGCCCCCGGGCGGGGCAGCGUGCCUCCCUCUCCCUGUUACAGCAGCGAGGACGUGAUCAGCUGCCAGCUGACGCGCUCGGUCCAGUGCGCCCACCAGAAGCCGAUCACGGUGCUGCGAGCGGCCGCCGGGCGAGUCGUCACCGGCAGCCAGGACCACACCGUCCGGGUUUACCGUCUGGAGGACUCGUGCUGCCUCUUCACUCUGCAGGGUCACUCUGGAGGGAUCACAGCCAUCUACAUAGACCAGACGAUGGUUCUGGCGAGCGGCGGUCAAGACGGCGCCAUCUGCCUGUGGGACGUCCUGACGGGGAGUCGCGUCAGCCAUGUUUACGGUCACCGCGGCGACGUCACGUCGCUCGUCUGCACCAUCUCUUGCGUCAUCAGCUCGGGGCUGGAUGACCUCAUCUGUAUCUGGGACCGCAGCACCGGGAUCAAGCUCUACUCCAUACAGCAGGAGGUGGGUUGCGGGGCCAGCCUGGGCGUGAUCUCCGAGUCCCUCCUGGUGACGGGGGGCCAGGGCUGCGUGUCCUUCUGGGACCUGAACUUCGGCGACCUGCUGCAGACGGUGUACCUCGGCCAGAGCAGCGACGGCCAGGGCGUCCGGCAGCUGCUGGUGCUCGACAACGCCGCCAUCAUCUGUGACUUUGGCAGCGAGCUCAGCCUGGUGUACGUGCCCUCGGUGCUGGAGAAACUGGACUGAGGAGGGGGGGGAGGGGGCAAAAGAACAUCCUUUUACCCGUUCAUCACGUCGACCCCCCCCCUCUUUUGACGACGACCCUUUGAUCCCCAAUCGGUGACAUUUAGGAGUUCAAGAAAAGCUGGAUGCGUCUCACUCGGAGGAGCCGCCUGUGCUUUUCCUUUUUUUGUUGUUUUUAUUACGUGUGUUUGUUGUUGUUGUUGUGGCUCUGCCCUCUAUGCUGCUUAUACGGGUGGGGCCUCACUGUGACCCCCCCCACCCGCCCAGAGAGGAAGAUAAAACUCCCUUUUUCCUUUUUUUUUCUUUUAUAUUCCUGCUGCCUCUUUCGCUCAAACAGCAAAGUGCAGCCACAGCGAAGCUCUCCGGGCCCCACGGCCAUGAGUGUGCGAGAGUGUGCGAGAGUGUGCGAGAGUGUGUGUGUGUGUGUGUGUGUGUGUGUGUGUGUGUGUGUGUGUGUGUGUGUGUGUGUGUGAGAGAGAGAGAGAGAGGCCCUUUUAUGGCAUAACACUGCUGAGAACAAAAACUGGUUAUGUGUGUGUGUGAGGGAGAACUGAUGAUUACUGUACAAAGUAAACCUGUUUUUAUAAUGUAUAAUUCUAUUAUUUAUUAGCGAUACCUUUUUUUUUCUUCUUUUUUUUAAUAACGGUUUGUUUGAGUGGCUGAUCCCGGCUUUUAAAGGAGACUAUAACAAAGUGGAGUUAAUUAAAUGUAAGAUGAUGAUUAUCUAUUCGGGGGGGAGUUGGUUAUAAAGCGAUUUUACUUGUGAAGUUGAACUGGAAACACUGAAGUGUUUGUGAUGGGUUUUGGGUUUCUUUGGGGGGGGGGGGGGGGGCUGUAGCAAGAAAAGGGCGCCUCCUUUGUAUCCCGACCUCUGACCUCUGGGGGUUACUGAUGCUGUACGAGCCCCCCCCCCCACAUGCUACACCUUCAUCAGGCUACCUCCGUUUUUCUAAACUGCUUGAAUUUUGGAUGAGAAUACUGACGCAGUUCUGCACAGGCCGUCGUCAUGUUUACAUUGGCUGUCGUAUUGUUUGAAUAACUUGUGCCCUUUUUAGAGAUUUUAAUUUUAAUUUUUUUUUAAACUGCUGUUGCUGGUUCACCUCUAAACUGUUUUUUCCCCCCCGAGAUCUGACUAAAGUGAAGUUAACGUUCUUUAUGCAGCCAGACGGGGAGGAAUGUGAAGGAACAGGCGGCUAGUGUGUCCUCUCGUCUGGUGUCUCUUUUAAAAUCAUGUUUUAUGCACCUCGGCUAAUAAUACAUUAUAUAUACAUAUAUAUACAUACACAGAUGCUUUUAUUGUGCUCAAUUGUUCUAAGACGAUGUUGCAUUUUUUUAUUUUUUUUAUUUCCGAGUCAAUUAGAGCUAACCGAUUAAUUCAUAAAACCUUUCACACCUUGUCGGGAACAAGCAAAACUAAAAAAUGGCCUCCGAUGCGGCUUUAAACGCCGCACCAGGUUUAGGGCGCACUGAUCUGACGUCAGUUAUUAAGAACGACCCGACGUGUGCACUGAGGAACGUUACGGUGCGUUCAGGGGUCUUAUCGGUAACAACGGUAUCGGAACAACUCGUGAGGUGCUUGUGGAAAAAGUUUUUAUUUAUUAAAAAUGUUGCACACGAUUCUAUUCAUAAGUGGUUUAUAAUUUAAUUGGGCGGAUGCAUAAUUUAAGUCUGAUUAAGAAGCUUCAUUGAAACUCUUUGAGGUUUUACAACCGAUACGUUUGGGCUCAUUAAUCGUUUCUUCAUUCACGGCUCGUUAAGAGAUGAAAUGGAGACUUAAUUGCUACUGAAACGUUUUUAACUCUAAAGUAAUAAAACUAACAGUCAGUUGUGGGGCCGUGUGAUCCCUCGUUUAACCUUUGACCCCGAACACCUGCUGAAAGAAUGUAAAACUUCAGGUCCCUGAACCCCCCACAGAAUGUAUUUUCCUCCCAAAUCACCCGUCGUCUGCUGAAUGUCGUGACGAACAAAUCCAUUAAACUAAACGCCGACUAAAUAUCCUUCACGGUAUCGCGACACUAAUUAAAAUGCACUCGUUAACCAGGUUUCAUGUAGUUUAGGAAGCUUUAGUCUCGUCUGGAAGGUUUUAUUUUUCUCGCAACGUGAAUUUGAUUUACAGAUGUUUGACAUUUUGGUGAAGAUGCUGAAAAUUAGAGCCGGAAACGGAGGUCUAGAGGUCCUGCAGGUAACCUAGUUACCGUUUUGUAACACACACACAAGCGCAAGACUUUGUACUAAUUUUCAAAAUAAAAGAGGCUUUGAUAC